Triticum aestivum (bread wheat) is the source of this 84-nucleotide non-coding RNA. The record is from Rfam. Lineage: Eukaryota; Viridiplantae; Streptophyta; Magnoliopsida; Poales; Poaceae.
AAGCAUAUGGUGUUACAAGGAGAUGCUACUAAGAUUUUUCGUCGUUGAAGUAUCUUAAAAUGAGCUUUUAAAAACUGAUGCUUG